This 1075-nucleotide ribosomal RNA is filed under the name Nacobbus aberrans. RNAcentral's name for it is "SSU rRNA". It matches the Rfam family "Eukaryotic small subunit ribosomal RNA", at positions 89 to 1171 of the family's 1831-position model. The record is from RNAcentral. Lineage: Eukaryota; Metazoa; Nematoda; Chromadorea; Rhabditida; Pratylenchidae.
GCGAACGGCUCAUUAUAACAGCUAUAAUUUACUUGAUCUUGACAACCUACUUGGAUAACUGUGGUAAUUCUAGAGCUAAUACAUGCACAAAAGCUCCGACCUAAAGGAAAGAGCGCAUUUAUUAGAACAAAACCAAACGGCUUCGGCCGUCCACUGUUGAACCAGAAUAACUAAGCUGACCGCAUGGUCUUGUACCGGCGGCAUGUCUUUCAAGUAUCUGCCUUAUCAACUUUCGAUGGUAGCGUAUCUGCCUACCAUGGUGAUGACGGGUAACGGAGGAUAAGGGUUCGACUCCGGAGAAGGGGCCUGAGAAAUGGCCACUACGUCUAAGGAUGGCAGCAGGCGCGCAAAUUACCCACUCUCAGAAUGAGGAGGUAGUGACGAGAAAUAACGAGACAGUUCUCUUAUGAGGCCUGUCAUCGGAAUGGGUACAAUCUAAACCCUUUAACGAGUAUCUAUGAGAGGGCAAGUCUGGUGCCAGCAGCCGCGGUAAUUCCAGCUCUCAAAAUGCAUAGAAUUAUUGCUGCGGUUAAAAAGCUCGUAGUUGGAUCUGUGCCGGCGUCCCGGUCCGCCCUCACGGGCGUGUACUGGAUUCGCUGGUUUUCCGCUCAACUCCUGCCAGCGUCCUUCACUGGACGUCUGGAAAGGGUGAGCAAGUUUACCUUGAACAAAUCAGAGUGCUCAAAACAGGCGUUUCGCUUGAAUGUUCGUGCAUGGAAUAAUAGAAGAGGAUUUCGGUUCAAUUUUAUUGGUUUUAUUGACUGAGAUAAUGGUUAACAGAGACAAACGGGGGCAUUCGUAUUGCUACGUGAGAGGUGAAAUUCUUGGACCGUAGCAAGACGGACUACAGCGAAAGCAUUUGCCAAGAAUGUCUUCAUUAAUCAAGAACGAAAGUCAGAGGUUCGAAGGCGAUCAGAUACCGCCCUAGUUCUGACCGUAAACGAUGCCAACUAGCGAUCCGCCGGCGGAAUUUUUGCCCUGGUGGGGGAGCUUCCCGGAAACGAAAGUCUUCCGGUUCCGGGGGAAGUAUGGUUGCAAAGCUGAAACUUAAAGGAAUUGACGGAAGGGCACCACC